CGGAAGCUGAGGGGCCUCGGAGGUGGGGCCGGGAUGCAUCCUGGGCUUUGUAGUCCACCUGCACAACUACAGCCAGAGAGCGGGGCCUCACGACGUGGAGAACUACAAUCCCCAGCAGCCAGGCGGAAGUGGAGUGAGGGGGGCUCGCAUCACGUGGGCGUUCGGCCUGGGCGGGCUAUUUCUCAGUGCGGCGGCGGCGGCGGCGGCGGCGGCGGCGGCUCCCGGGACCGGGGCCUUUUGUUUGGAGCGGCUGCGGGGAGGCCCCGGAGCGGCGAGGCCGGCGGCCUUCCCCAGCUUGCUCGGUCCCGGUCGCCCCUCGCGGGGGUGGGGGGCCGCCCCCUGGGCCGGGCAUCUGCUCAGGCGCCGCCGCCCCGCCCUAGGCCGGCCCCGCCCGGCCUGAGGGGAGGAACCGGCCGGGCCUCGCCGCGAGGCCCAGCCACCUCCGGAGUCGCAGUCUCUGCUCUCAGUGCUCCGGAUCGGAGGCCGUCCCUCUCCCCUCGGGCAGACGCCAUGAAGAUCAAAGAUGCCAAGAAACCCUCUUUCCCAUGGUUUGGCAUGGACAUUGGGGGAACUCUAGUAAAACUCUCAUACUUUGAACCUAUUGAUAUCACAGCAGAGGAAGAACAAGAAGAAGUUGAGAGUUUAAAAAGUAUUCGGAAAUAUUUGACUUCUAAUGUAGCAUAUGGAUCCACCGGCAUUCGGGAUGUACACCUUGAACUGAAGGAUUUAACACUUUUUGGCCGAAGAGGGAACUUGCACUUUAUCAGGUUUCCAACCCAGGACCUGCCUACUUUUAUCCAAAUGGGAAGAGAUAAAAACUUCUCAACAUUGCAGACGGUGCUAUGUGCUACAGGAGGUGGUGCUUACAAGUUUGAAAAAGAUUUUCGCACAAUUGGAAACCUCCACCUGCACAAACUGGAUGAACUUGACUGCCUUGUAAAGGGCUUGCUGUAUAUAGACUCUGUCAGUUUCAAUGGACAAGCCGAGUGCUAUUAUUUUGCUAAUGCCUCAGAACCUGAGCGAUGCCAAAAGAUGCCUUUUAACCUGGAUGAUCCCUAUCCACUGCUUGUAGUGAACAUUGGCUCAGGAGUCAGUAUUUUAGCAGUCCAUUCCAAAGACAACUAUAAACGAGUGACUGGGACAAGCCUUGGAGGGGGUACCUUUCUGGGUUUAUGCAGUUUAUUGACUGGCUGUGAAAGUUUUGAAGAGGCUCUUGAAAUGGCAUCCAAAGGUGAUAGCACACAAGCUGACAAGCUGGUCCGUGAUAUUUAUGGAGGAGAUUACGAAAGAUUUGGUUUGCCAGGUUGGGCUGUAGCAUCUAGUUUUGGGAAUAUGAUUUAUAAGGAGAAGCGAGAAUCUGUUAGUAAAGAAGAUCUGGCAAGAGCUACUUUAGUUACUAUCACCAAUAACAUUGGUUCUGUGGCACGAAUGUGUGCUGUUAAUGAGAAAAUAAACAGAGUUGUCUUUGUUGGAAACUUUUUACGUGUCAAUACCCUCUCAAUGAAACUUCUGGCGUAUGCACUGGAUUAUUGGUCAAAAGGUCAACUAAAAGCAUUGUUUCUAGAACAUGAGGGAUACUUUGGAGCAGUUGGUGCACUUCUUGGGCUGCCAAAUUUCAGCUAAAGCAUCAGGUCUCUCUCUCUGCUAAUAAAUGUCGUCCAAGAGGAACUAAAACCAGAGGCAUUAUUACUGCAUUGUUUGUCACUGGGAACCAAAGGAUAGAAGAGUAGCAUAAGCUGCUGAAUGUUGCCAUAUUAAAGGAGAGAACUUGGUACUAGGUAUUGGAUUCUCACCAAACCAGUAGAAUGGCGUUCUCUCUUAAUAUGUCAUUGCCUGUAAUGGCCAGUAAUAUGAAAGGUUUUAUAUGUAAAUUAAAAUGUUUGUACUUUUAAAUCUGUAAAGGUGAUCUGGAAUUUUUACUAUGUUAACUUCAGCAUUAUAUGGGCAUUAUGACUUUUUCAUUGUACAAAAAAAAAAAUUAUUCAUAAAUGUUGGAAUACAGAUGUUCCUUGACUUAUGAUAGGGUUAUGUUCCAGUAGACCCAUUGUAAAUUGAAAAUACUGUUAGUUGAAAAUACAUUUAAUACGCCUAACCUACUGAAUAUCCCAGCUUAGCCUAGCCUACCUUAAAUGUGUUCAGAACACUUAAUGUUGGCCUGUAGCUGGGCAAAAUCAUCUAAUACAAAACCUAUUUUAUAAUGAAAGAUUUAAUAUCUCAAAUAAGAGUAUGAUACCACAUAUCGUUAGCCCAGGAUAAUAUCAAAAGAUGAAAUUUGAAGUACAGUUUUUACUGAAUAUGUAUUGCUUUUGCCCCAUUAUAAAGUUGAAAAACCAUAAGUCAAACCAUUGUUAAGUCGGACUGUUUGUGUUACAUAUAUUUGGGAUUUUUUAGUGACCCUUUUUAAAAAGCUGUUUCUUAUUUCUGAUCAUUGUGAGUGGGGAUAGAUAUGGGAAGAACCACGUCUCUACUAAAAAUAAAAAAAAUACCCCAGCUUGUUGGCACACACCUGUAGUCCCAGCUACUCGGGAGGCUGAGGCAGGAGAAUCACUUGAAUCGGGAGGCAGAGGGCAGAUCAUGCCGCUGUACUCCAGCCUGGGCAACAGAGUAAGACUCUGUCUCAAACAUGAAUGAAUGAAUGAAUGAAUGAAUGAAUGAAUGAAUGAAUGAAUGAACGAACAAACGAACUAUUAGCUGAUACUGGGAUUUCAGGUACCACAGUUCCUGCUGAAAGAUACGUUUGGGGUAAAUCAAUUUUUUUCCUUGUAGAAUUUCAGUGUGUUUGCUGCAACUGCCACUCAUUUUGCGUUUAAAAGAACAAAAGAGGAAUGUAUUUUUCAAAGGAGUGAAUGAGGUUAAAAUCAAGAUUUUGAAUGGUAUAAAUAUGCAACUAAUUCAAUUGUAGGAUAUUAUUAAAUUUUGUAUCUCUAAACAUCUUUCUUUCAUACAUCGCAGUGCUUACAGUUCCAAUAGCUUUCCAAGAAAACAUUUCCAUGUUUGCAUAAUUUGUAAAGUAUAUAUAAAUAAUGUAAAAUAAUUUGGGAUUAUCUCAACUUUAUAUUGUAUGUCUGAAUUUCAUCGAUGUCAUACCUGGCUCAGUCAAUAGUCGUCACAGGUAUUAAGCCAUUUUGGAAUUUGCCACCUUUUUCUGUGGAACCUGUUUUAGUUUAGUUUACAGCAUUUAGAAAUAGAAGGUAACUUUAUAGAAGUAACACCAAUAUCCUAGUCUGCUUGUCCCGAAUACAAUUAAUAGUAUUAGGAUGUAAGUGAUAUUAAGAUGGUUUUUAUUAUUUUUUUGUACACUGUACUUUUACUUUUUAUUUAAACUACAGCUAAAAGCUGACUUUUUAACUAAAAUUGAAUGGCAUUUAUCUUAAUGCCCAGUUAUUGACCAAAUCAUACUCAGAAGAUGUUAUUAUGUCCCAGUCUAAGGAAUCCUUUAAUUUGGGGAUUAAUUUGACUUCCACAUGCCAUUUCAGUGUAAAUUGCCUUAUUCUGUCUAUUACAUUAUUCUUGUCAAGUCUAAGCUUUAUCAUGUCUGAAUUCUUUUAACACUGAAUCUGUGAUGUAAAAAUGUAUGAUGUGCUACAAAUUUUAUUCAUAAUAAACUAAGUUAUAGCCUGUUGUAAUCUGUAAAACAUUUCUUGUAAAUUGCCUAAUUUAUUUUUUCAUUCAUGUACAGUUUCUUAUGUAAAUUUGAAAAAUGUUUGCCAUGGCACAUUCUGUAAACAUUCCCGUAUUCUUUUCCUUAAUGCUUAUUUGCAUGAAGGUAACUUGGGUUUUGCUUGUUUGUGUUGGAUAACCAUUAAGCCAACUUCAGUAUCUCUGCCUUUUUUCUUGUAGUUUAACCGUUUCUAAUUUUGUUCAUAUUCUAAAUAGAUGUUAGAAUCAUACUUUUUAUUUUCUACUUAAUAAAUUAUCUAAGUUGUUUAC
This is a non-coding RNA of Macaca mulatta (Rhesus monkey), 3930 nucleotides long. The record is from RefSeq and is a predicted model, not a curated record. Lineage: Eukaryota; Metazoa; Chordata; Mammalia; Primates; Cercopithecidae.